Molecule: ribosomal RNA, 1079 nt
Filed under: Staphylococcus pseudintermedius
Lineage: Bacteria; Bacillati; Bacillota; Bacilli; Caryophanales; Staphylococcaceae
Description: partial 23S ribosomal RNA
Rfam family: Bacterial large subunit ribosomal RNA
Source: RNAcentral
CCUGAGUACGACGGAGCACGUGAAAUUCCGUCGGAAUCUGGGAGGACCAUCUCCUAAGGCUAAAUACUCUCUAGUGACCGAUAGUGAACCAGUACCGUGAGGGAAAGGUGAAAAGUACCCCGGAAGGGGAGUGAAAGAGAACUUGAAACCGUGUGCUUACAAGUAGUCAGAGCCCGUUAAUGGGUGAUGGCGUGCCUUUUGUAGAAUGAACCGGCGAGUUACGAUCUGAUGCAAGGUUAAGCAGAAAAUGUGGAGCCGUAGCGAAAGCGAGUCUGAAUAGGGCGAAUGAGUAUUUGGUCGUAGACCCGAAACCAGGUGAUCUACCCUUGGUCAGGUUGAAGUUCAGGUAACACUGAAUGGAGGACCGAACCGACUUACGUUGAAAAGUGAGCGGAUGAACUGAGGGUAGCGGAGAAAUUCCAAUCGAACUUGGAGAUAGCUGGUUCUCUCCGAAAUAGCUUUAGGGCUAGCCUCAAGUGAUGAUUAUUGGAGGUAGAGCACUGUUUGGACGAGGGGCCCCUCUCGGGUUACCGAAUUCAGACAAACUCCGAAUGCCAAAUAAUUUAACUUGGGAGUCAGAAUGUGGGUGAUAAGGUCCAUAUUCGAAAGGGAAACAGCCCAGACCACCAGCUAAGGUCCCAAAAUAUAUGUUAAGUGGAAAAGGAUGUGGCGUUGCCCAGACAACUAGGAUGUUGGCUUAGAAGCAGCCAUCAUUUAAAGAGUGCGUAAUAGCUCACUAGUCGAGUGACACUGCGCCGAAAAUGUACCGGGGCUAAACAUAUUACCGAAGCUGUGGAUUGUCCUUUGGACAAUGGUAGGAGAGCGUUCUAAGGGCGUUGAAGCAUGAUCGCAAGGACAUGUGGAGCGCUUAGAAGUGAGAAUGCCGGUGUGAGUAGCGAAAGACGGGUGAGAAUCCCGUCCACCGAUUGACUAAGGUUUCCAGAGGAAGGCUCGUCCGCUCUGGGUUAGUCGGGUCCUAAGCUGAGGCCGACAGGCGUAGGCGAUGGAUAACAGGUUGAUAUUCCUGUACCACCAUUAUUCGUUUUAAGCGAUGGGGGGACGCAGUAGGAUAGGCGAAG